RNAcentral lists this small RNA (117 nucleotides) under Marmota monax (woodchuck). The record is from RNAcentral. Lineage: Eukaryota; Metazoa; Chordata; Mammalia; Rodentia; Sciuridae.
GCUGGGUUUGGUGGCACAUGCCUGUAAUCCCAGCAACCUGUGGGCUGAGGCAGGAGGAUCACAAGUUGAUUCGAAACUUAGUUAGACCCCAAGCAACUUAGUGAGAUUCUGUCUCAA